RNAcentral lists this long non-coding RNA (424 nucleotides) under Volvox carteri. RNAcentral describes it as "long non-coding RNA (VCAR_LNC003085)". The record is from RNAcentral. Lineage: Eukaryota; Viridiplantae; Chlorophyta; Chlorophyceae; Chlamydomonadales; Volvocaceae.
CUGUUGUUCAGACUAAUGCACCUCCCAGCCCCACCUUCGUCGCUGCCGCUGCUACGCCGUUCCUAAUUCCCCCCACCGCCGCGCCUGCUGCAGUUGCUAUUUCCCGCCGCCGCCGUGCCUGUUGUUCAGACUAAUGCACCUCCCAGCCCCUUCACCGUCGCUGCCGCUGCUACUCCGUUGCUAAUUCCCGCCGCCGCCGCGCCUGCUGCUGUUGCUAUUUCCCGCCGCCGCCGCGCCUGUUGUUCAGGCUAAUGCACCCCCCAGCCCCACCUUCGUCGCUGCCGCUGCUACUCCGUUGCUUAUUCCCGCCGCUGCCAAUGCUGCUGCGUUGCUAAUUCCCGCCGCCGUCACGCCUGCCGUUUAGGCUACUGCACCUCCCAGCCCCAACGCCGUCGCUCCUGCUGCUGCUGCGUUGCUAUUUCCC